This is a long non-coding RNA of Dicentrarchus labrax (European seabass), 3306 nucleotides long. RefSeq lists it as uncharacterized. The record is from RefSeq and is a predicted model, not a curated record. The transcript has 3 exons. NCBI's taxonomy places the organism in Eukaryota, Metazoa, Chordata, Actinopteri, Moronidae.
CUCUGACGGUUAUUUUAAUUUUAAAUAAAAAAUAAAUAAAAAUCACAGGAGCGAUAUUAUUCAAAAGCAACCGCGGCGGUCGGUCGUGCUGGUCGACAGGCACAUUUUGGUACGGGUGGAAUAAUGCUGCGGCUGCGUUUGAUUUUCUAUUUAUUUUUUGUGUGUGACGGCGGUGUGCUUGGAGCUGAGGAGCGGAGCGGGUUGGCGCCACUUUCAAAUCCUCCACUGACACAGAAUGAUCCCGGCUUCAAAUACAUGUACACACCACUUCAUUUCUACUUUUAAUUAUUACUGUAAAACAAGGAAUAUCCUAACACUUUUUCUCUCUUGGACAAUGUUUUUCUGCGGAAGUGUUUAAUGUGCAACCCUCUGCAGGCCUGCAGACAGACAGAAAAUGGGAGAGAAAGAGGGGGGAUGACAUGCAGCAAAGGGCCACAGAAUAGAAUCAAACCCAGGCUGCUGCAGAAAGGACUCAGCCUUAGCACAAGGUGUGUGAGCUCUAGCAGGUGAGCUACCAGGGCGCCCCUCAUAUAGAAUUAUUAAGAUGAAAAGUUCCUGACUGACCUCCUGUUAUUAUGAAAAAUAAUUUAAUAAUCCCAGAUCUUUCACAUUUAAAGAACAUUUAGUAGAGCUGCACAAUGAAUCAAAAUAUUAUAGAAAUCGCAAUAUGGCCAUGUGCAUAUUGCACAAAAUUGGACUUUGUUUGAUAAAGGUAAAAUGUGACAAACAGCAUUAUAAUGGUACUGUAGUUCUGCAGAGAUGCCCUGGUCUACAAAUCUUGUUCUCCAGAUUAAAAUCAGUUUGGUACAGACCCCAACAAAUGUCACAUCAUGAUUUCAAUGGUUUAUUCAGUGAAAAUUCAAUUUAUGAUGAAAAAAUUCUCACACUAAUCAUAAAUCAUAUUGUUCUUGUCAAAAUAAUUGCAAUCUUAUGUUUUUACCAUAUCAUACAGCCUUAACUUUUAGUGCAAAAAAUAAUACAACAUAAACAGCCAUUUAUAUUAUAACCUUAACUCGGGCCAUCUUUGGCCCAUAGGCCGCACUUUAGGCCACCCUGCACUAGACUUUUGGAAAUAAACAGAAUUAAGUCACAUCAGAUUGGAACUGAUGUAAGAAUAUUGUAAUAAACACAAUUGUUAAAAAAAAAAAAAAGGCUCUCUCAAGUAAUCUUUUCAAUGUCAGGUCCUCAAUAAUUAAGAAAAAGCUGCUGGUGAGUUUUUUCACUAAUGGAGCUGUUUCUAAAAUGAUCAGAUUUUUAUUUUAUGUAUAUUUUUCAUGUAUCACUCUUCCUGUCCAUUCCCUCAGUGGGCAGACUGAGGCAGAUCAUUGUACUAGUCUCAAGUCACUUGAAUUUUUGUGAGAAGCUGAUGUGUGUUGUUAACUAGUCAAAUUAUCUCACCAUUGGCUGAUUUAAAAAACAUGUAUUUUAUAAAAAAUAUCUCCCUGUACCGUUACAUCAGUCUUGCACUUGUUCCUGUCUGUGCUCUUUAUUUUUGUGAAGACUACCCUGUGGUGUAGUGAUAUUUUAAAUGUUAAAUUUGGUGGUACUCUGUUUAACUUUUUUGUCAGUGUUAAUAAGAGUAUCUUCAGAAAAGUAACACCGUUGUAAUAUGUAAUGGAGGCAGGUUAGUAAUACACCUACUAAGCACCACUAAGUGAGGAACAAAGACAAAAGGAGAGAAAGUGAGAAUCCAACAGAUUUUAUUUGUUUUUUCUGCAAUUCAAUCAAUCAAACUUUACUUGUAUACCACCGUUUAUACAGUUUAGUGCAGUUCAAAGGGCUUCACAGAUAACUGACAUGAUGAUAACAAGACAGAAUGGAAUAAAAACUGAAUUGGUAAAUUUAAAAAUAGAAAACAAUCAUAGAAAUAACAAUAAAAUACAAUAAACAGCUAUACUUAAAGCAGAUAAGCAGUGUUUCUCAUCCUCUUUUUUACUUCUUCCUCUUCCUCCAUUUUGUCCCCUUCAACCAUUUUGUUUCCUUCACAGAACAUUCAAAACAACUUUGUGUCAAUCUCCUUGAGAGUAAUUUGAUUAAGACUGUUACACUUUGGGCUAAAAGCAGACCCUUUUUUUGAAGCAAUGUGCAACUAUUAUGCUUGUAUUAUACAUUUAUAGUUAGACAUUACAGCAUGUUUUAUGUCAAUUAAACAGAUUAGUAUUUUCCUAAGUUAAGAUGGGAAAUAAAAGAAAGGAACAAAAACCAUGAGAUGAAUCUUUCCUGUUACCCCAGAGCGUUUGCGUCUGAGGCAGUAAAUCUGAUGGACUCAUGGUCUCGGUGUGUCCGGGGUGCGCUCUAGCAGCACAUCAUGUUUUGCAGAUAUGUGCUGAAUCACUCCAAAUCAUUAUGUGCUGCCACCGUGAGCCCUGGAAUUUCCAGAAACACUGGGACCAGCUCCCAGUCAGACUUCACACAUCUUCCCCCGCAGGAACUUCUUAAAGGUCAGAGGUGAUGUGUGUGUGUGUGUGUGUGUGUGUGUGUGUGUGUGUGUGUGUGUGUGUGUGUGUGUGUGUCCGUGUGUGUGUGUGUCCGUGUGUGUGUGUGUCCGUGUGUGUGUGUGUGUGUGUGUGUGUGUGUGUGUGUGUGUGUGUGUGUGUGCGUGCGUGGGUUUUGUGUGUGUGUGUGUGUGUGGGUUUUGUGUGUCCUUGGACACGUCACUUCAGUGUUCAGGCUUGGGUGUGGAACAUCAGGACUCUUUAUAUCAUCCACAUUCUCUGUGACAAGGUGGGUUUAUUUAGUUCUUCUCAGUAAAAAUGAAUACACUGUUGAACUUUUGUGUUUUAUUGUUAGUCUAUGCUAGUGGUUCUGACAUAUUUUAUAGAUAUUUCAUAUUUUAUAUAUAUAAAUAUAUAUAUAUAUGUAUGUAUGUAUAUGUAUGUAUUAAUAAUUUUUGUCAUAUAUACUAGGCUUCUUUUCUGACAAAUUCAGUGCUUUCCUGUCCCUAAAGUUUGUGUAAAAUGAGUAAUUUGGAGGACUUUUUGAGCAGAUUAUUUCCUGUAAAUAUUAAGAUGUUACUUUAUUAAUCUAGCACAGCAGCAGAGGGGAAUGUGGUGCAAAGAGUAAGAAAAUAGAAUAGAAUAAAAUAGAUUAGAAACCAACUAAUACACUAUUUACAAUAAAACAGAAUAGAAUAUCAUACUAACUGAAUCAGAGACAAGUUUUCCUGAUAUUUCUAGGAACUUUUAUAUUAUUAUACAAUUUGGCCUGUAUUAUGUUUUUUUAUUUUUAACACAUAAUUUGCUUAUUUUUUGACAAAUUCAUUGUUUCCUUCUCACAGAUCUUUAUGAGUUAUUUUAACUGCAUAUU